GCCUGGGUGGCUCAGUUGGUUAAGUGUCUGACUUCAGCUCAGGUCAUGAUAUUGCGGUUUGUGGGUUCGAGCCCCAUGUCAGGCU
This 85-nucleotide transfer RNA is filed under the name Felis catus (domestic cat). It matches the Rfam family "tRNA". From Rfam's summary of the family: Transfer RNA (tRNA) molecules are approximately 80 nucleotides in length. Their secondary structure includes four short double-helical elements and three loops (D, anti-codon, and T loops). Further hydrogen bonds mediate the characteristic L-shaped molecular structure. tRNAs have two regions of fundamental functional importance: the anti-codon, which is responsible for specific mRNA codon recognition, and the 3' end, to which the tRNAs corresponding amino acid is attached (by aminoacyl-tRNA synthetases). tRNAs cope with the degeneracy of the genetic code in two manners: having more than one tRNA (with a specific anti-codon) for a particular amino acid; and 'wobble' base-pairing, i.e. permitting non-standard base-pairing at the 3rd anti-codon position. RNAcentral also lists the same sequence under 3 other names. Lineage: Eukaryota; Metazoa; Chordata; Mammalia; Carnivora; Felidae. The record is from Rfam by way of RNAcentral.